UUCUGUAUUAUAUUUUACUGAUGACUUCAUCAGAAUUCAUCCCAUUAUAUUAUUGUGCAUGUUUGAACUUGAUCGCCGGGAAACAAACGUGUGCACAGCUGAUUGCUAUUUCCGGCUCAAAUACACACGGUAAUCUUAAUCCCUG
Molecule: long non-coding RNA, 145 nt
Organism: Haliotis rubra (blacklip abalone)
Lineage: Eukaryota; Metazoa; Mollusca; Gastropoda; Lepetellida; Haliotidae
Exons: 2
Source: RefSeq, a predicted model, not a curated record